RNA transcript from Nerophis lumbriciformis (worm pipefish), 2280 nucleotides. It is a transcript of the gene named SET domain bifurcated histone lysine methyltransferase 2, with no coding region annotated. Lineage: Eukaryota; Metazoa; Chordata; Actinopteri; Syngnathiformes; Syngnathidae. The record is from RefSeq and is a predicted model, not a curated record.
CAGUUUUUACAAGUUGGAUAUAAAUAUUCAAUUAAUAUUCAAUUAUAUUUUGAUGCAUAUUAUUUUGGCAGCAUGUGUAUCGAAAUUGGACAUUGUGACUUUCAGACGUUUUGUCUGUGAGACAAACAACAGGGCACAUUAUCCUACCGCUUUUGUUUGAAGAGAAUCUUCCUUCCAGUCAACGCUGCUGGGCCUAAUUGUUAGAAAUAUAACAACAUUUAGAAUGCCAUCAAGAUCAAAUAUAAAAUGCAAGUUUGGGGAUGAUUUAGUAUUAACAGGAUCUGAGCUGCAGGUUUGAUUUGAAGUGAUUUAGUUAGCAUAGCAGCUAACGCCUUCUAGUUUCCCUUUGUUGUUAGCUUCAGUUCUGCUGCCUGGACCAGUCUUUACGAAGUCUUUACUAAGUCUUUACUAAGUCUUGACUAAGUCUUUACUAAGUCUUUACUAAGUCGUUCUUUGGGCUUGAAAUGGAUGCCUCAUUUGAUCAAGAUGUUGAUCGGGCAAAAACUUUCUGGGCCAAGGAGAAUGUGGACCACGUCUUCAAGAUCAUAUACAAGCACCUCAACCACCUGAGGGAAGUCCUGAAGAAGAAGACCGCAUCAGACAAAGAACAGGUUCAGGCAUUGAAGCUAUUUGACUGCCUGGAUUGGACGGUUCUGUCUCCUUCAGUGGACACCCCAGUGGUGCGGGUUGUUGUUGGUGCUGAUGAUGUACUGCAAAAUGAACUUGCCCACCAGAGCCCUACUUCCACACCUCCCUUGUCAGCCACUUCUCCUGCAGGCUGUGAGGAGCUGCUGCCUCCUCUGGAGCCCGCUCAGAUGCACUACCAUCUGCACGAGUGCUGCAAGACCUGCCUGCCUUCUUUACCUGACAUGUUCCAGUCCACACCGCCAUUCUGGGCUCAGAACCCGCUUAUGGCCCCGCAGCUUUGCAAUUUCAGGAGGAUUUUGGCCAAAAAAGAUCAGCAGGAAGAUUUUUUAACUGAGGAAGAACAUGAAGGCCACUGGGAUGUCAUUUAUAAAACUCCAUGUGGGCAAAGCCUCCGUAACCACGACGAUGUGAUGCGCUUUCUAUUGGCCACAGAGAGCUACGAUGUACUGCAGCUAGACUACUUCUCCUUCAACAUGGCCGUGCAGUUGGAUCCUUCUGAAGUGCAGAGUCCCCAGCUUCCAGAGAUAGACCUGAGUCGUGGCUCUGAGCCAACGCCAGUGGAGCUGUGCCUCGGCCCCGGCGAUACCCGGCCAGCUGAAUUCCGCUACAGGAAGGAACGAUGGCCGCACGGCUGCUUCUUGAGCCGCGGCCCCAUGUUUGAUGCCUGUUGUGACUGCCAGGACGGCUGCUUGGACGCACAACGCUGCGCCUGCAUCGCCAUGACGGGAGCUCAGCGCAAUUAUAACCAUCAAAGACUCACCGAGCCUUUGCCACUAGGGUUGUUUGAGUGUGGGCCGUGGUGCAGCUGUGAUCGUGCACGCUGCCAAAAUCAACUUGUGCAGAGAGGAAUCAGAGUCCGUCUUCAGGUGUUCUGGAGAGACCCUUGUGGCUGGGGUGUGCGUUGCCGUGACGACUUGGAUGUGGGGACUUUUGUGUGCAUAUUUGCAGGCGUGAUCCUGCAGAGAGCCCAGAGACCCAUCGAGCCUCCUCCUCCCAAACUGACCAGAGUGGAUUUGCCGUCAGAUGACGAGGUAGAGGUGGUAACGGAGUGGCUGGCACCCCCCGUACUGGAAGGGAGCACCUUGGAAACCCCUGCACCCACAUCGCCCCCGCUGCAUGUUCCAGUAAUCCAGAGACCCACGGAGGUCAGCGCACAUCCGGACAAAAAGACGGGGAAGAAGAUCUCUGCGAUGACCGCAAAUGCUGCUGGGAAUGGCAACAAGAUGGAGAGUCUGAAGAGUUUAAACAGAGUUACCAACCCUGGUGAUGUUUACUUGUUGGAUGCCACGAGGGAAGGAAACGUGAGCCGCUUCUUCAACUUGCCAGCCUAAUCUUUUCAUCCAGAACGUCUUCACUGACUCUCAUGACCCCGACUUUGCCAUCACCGCUUUCUUCACCAGCCGUGUGGUGAAGGCAGGCACGGAACUCACCUGGAACUAUUCUCCUGACACACACGUGCCACCCAAGCAUCAACAGGAAGUGGCGUGCAUGUGUGGCAGCAGUUGCUGUCGAGGCAGAUUCAUGAAGGAGAAUUUCCGUGACAUGGCUGCUUCUGGAUGUGGAGAUGCUUGUGAGCCCACUUGAUCAACACUCCUUGAUUCUACUACUUUUUGAAAUAAAACACUUUUUCCA